Molecule: ribosomal RNA, 253 nt
Filed under: uncultured bacterium
Lineage: Bacteria
Description: partial 16S ribosomal RNA
Rfam family: Bacterial small subunit ribosomal RNA
Source: RNAcentral
UACGUAGGGUGCGAGCGUUAAUCGGAAUUACUGGGCGUAAAGCGUGCGCAGGCGGUGAUGUAAGACAGGUGUGAAAUCCCCGGGCUUAACCUGGGAACUGCAUUUGUGACUGCAUCGCUGGAGUGCGGCAGAGGGGGAUGGAAUUCCGCGUGUAGCAGUGAAAUGCGUAGAUAUGCGGAGGAACACCGAUGGCGAAGGCAGCCUCCUGGGCCAGCACUGACGCUCAUGCACGAAAGCGUGGGGAGCAAACAGG